Long non-coding RNA from Ostrea edulis (European flat oyster), 1172 nucleotides. RefSeq lists it as uncharacterized. The transcript has 3 exons. The record is from RefSeq and is a predicted model, not a curated record. Lineage: Eukaryota; Metazoa; Mollusca; Bivalvia; Ostreida; Ostreidae.
GAUUUUUCUACUUUCCCAAUUUAAGUCUGAAAACAGAUCCAGUGUUUACAGGGAUUUUAAGUCUGAAAACAAGAACGUCAUUCAGAGCCACCAUGAUACCACCGAAACAAAAAUAUACGAUGGAAUGGGACGCUUCCUAAAAUAUGCACCAGGACUAUUAGUGGAGGUGGAAGAGGAAAGGUGUGAUGUUGAAAUUCCACAAUGCUGGGAUAAAGGGGAACCUCUUGGACUUUUGAUAAGGAGAACACGUUUCUUGUGAACCAUUGUCUUUUAUUUUCUAGCUUUAAAAAAUCUUCUCAAGAACAGCAGGACCAUUAUUAAUCAAAGUAACACUUCCCCGUGAGGAUAGAAUGGGGUAACUUUUUUUCAAGGGAAUAAAAUUAAAGAAUAUACACUUCAUCCGAGGAACAGCAGGACUGAGAUAAUAACAGUGAACACUGUGGGUUUUUUCCCCCAAAGAAUGGUUUAUUUGGAUUUAAUCUUUCCUUUAAUUACUACUACAUUGUUGAAUAUAUUGGUACAUGUAGGACCUAUUUUGCAGUGUGAGAGUAAUUGCUCUUGUUACACAUGCCUUAAAAGUACCGGUAUGUCUUAUUAUUUCUUGAAUAAAUGUAAUUGCUAUUGAUCUCAAUUUUGUGUAAUGUUAUGAUUCCAAUGGUAUAUUAAUUUAGUUAAGGCACAAUACAAAGGGUAUCUGUGAAUGCUGUUCACUUAUUUUGCCAGGAAGUUAUUUCAUUGAUUGGAAGUGUAGCUAGGGAAAUGUAUUUCAACAUUGACACCAAGUAAUUCAUUUUCGAACAGAUAAGUUCAAUGCAUGAUAAAUUAAAUGUAAUUUCAACCAGUUAUCAAUGUUGCUACAACCAAAUAUGAACAUUGAUUCAACCUGUUUUCAAUGUCUAUCUAAUUUAAAGAUGAUGUUGGAAUUCCAUGUUGAUUCAACUUUAUAUGCAACCAAAUUUCUAAGUUGAUAUCUGACGUUGCUUCACCUUUCAUAUGCAACCAAUAUUCAACGUUGAAUUAAUGUUGUAGAGCAACGUUGAUAUCUGAUGUUGAAACAACGUUGAUAUCUGACGUUGCUUCACCUUUCAUAUUCAACCAAAAUUCAACGUUGAUUCAACGUUGAAGAGUAACGUUGAUAUCUGAUGUUGAAACAACGUUGAUAUCUGACGUUG